CCUACGGGCGGCAGCAGUGGGGGAUAUUGCACAAUGGGGGAAACCCUGACGCAGCGACGCCGCGUGAGUGAAGAAGUAUUUCGGUAUGUAAAGCUCUAUCAGCAGGGAAGAAAAUGACAGUACCUGACCAAGAAGCCCCGGCUAACUACGCGCCAGCAGACGCGGGAAUACGUAGGGGGCAAGCGGUAUACGGAUUGUCUGGGUGUAAAGGGAGCGUAGACGGUUAUGUAAGUCAGGAGUGAAAGCCCGGGGCCCAACCUCGGGCCUGCUGUGGAAACUGGGUAACGUGAGUACAGGAGGGGCAGGCGGAAUUCCUGGUGUAGCGGUGAAAUGCGUAGAUAUCAGGAGGAACACC
Molecule: ribosomal RNA, 355 nt
Filed under: uncultured bacterium
Lineage: Bacteria
Description: partial 16S ribosomal RNA
Rfam family: Bacterial small subunit ribosomal RNA
Source: RNAcentral